RNAcentral lists this ribosomal RNA (908 nucleotides) under uncultured bacterium. Its description in RNAcentral is "bacterial SSU rRNA". It matches the Rfam family "Bacterial small subunit ribosomal RNA", at positions 11 to 916 of the family's 1533-position model. The record is from RNAcentral.
GUUUGAUCCUGGCUCAGAUUGAACGCUGGCGGCAUGCCUUACACAUGCAAGUCGAACGGCAGCGCGGGGCAACCUGGCGGCGAGUGGCGAACGGGUGAGUAAUAUAUCGGAACAUACCCUAGAGUGGGGGAUAACGUAGCGAAAGUUACGCUAAUACCGCAUACGCACUAAGGUGGAAAGUGGGGGAUCGCAAGACCUCAUGCUCAUGGAGUGGCCGAUAUCUGAUUAGCUAGUUGGUGAGGUAAAGGCUCACCAAGGCGACGAUCAGUAGCUGGUCUGAGAGGACGACCAGCCACACUGGAACUGAGACACGGUCCAGACUCCUACGGGAGGCAGCAGUGGGGAAUUUUGGACAAUGGGGGCAACCCUGAUCCAGCAAUGCCGCGUGAGUGAAGAAGGCCUUCGGGUUGUAAAGCUCUUUUGUCAGGGAAGAAACGGUGAUCUCUAAUAUAGAUUGCUAAUGACGGUACCUGAAGAAUAAGCACCGGCUAACUACGUGCCAGCAGCCGCGGUAAUACGUAGGGUGCAAGCGUUAAUCGGAAUUACUGGGCGUAAAGCGUGCGCAGGCGGUUAUAUAAGUCAGAUGUGAAAUCCCCGGGCUCAACCUGGGAACUGCAUUUGAGACUGUAUGGCUAGAGUGUGUCAGAGGGGGGUAGAAUUCCACGUGUAGCAGUGAAAUGCGUAGAUAUGUGGAGGAAUACCGAUGGCGAACGCAGCCCCCUGGGAUAACACUGACGCUCAUGCACGAAAGCGUGGGGAGCAAACAGGAUUAGAUACCCUGGUAGUCCACGCCCUAAACGAUGUCUACUAGUUGUCGGGUCUUAAUUGACUUGGUAACGCAGCUAACGCGUGAAGUAGACCGCCUGGGGGAGUACGGUCGCAAGAUUAAAACUCAAAGGAAUUGACGG